UACGAAGGGGGCGAGCGUUGUUCGGAAUCAUUGGGCGUAAAGGGCGCGUAGGCGGGCUUGUAAGUCGGUUGUGAAAUCCCUGGGCUUAACCUGGGAAUUGCAUUCGAAACUGCAAGUCUUGAGUUCUCGAGAGGAUGGUGGAAUUCCUGGAGUAGUAGUGAAAUACGUAGAUAUCAGGAGGAACACCGGAGGCGAAGGCGGCCAUCUGGCGAGACACUGACGCUAAGGCGCGAAAGCGUGGGUAGCAAACAGG
Molecule: ribosomal RNA, 253 nt
Filed under: uncultured bacterium
Lineage: Bacteria
Description: partial 16S ribosomal RNA
Rfam family: Bacterial small subunit ribosomal RNA
Source: RNAcentral